GGGAACUCCAAAAUAGGAGAGGCGGCAAAAUGUGAAACGCAGAGAAGUCUGCAUUUCCUUUCGCCCUUUCUUUCUCGCACCCACAGUUACACACACAUACACGCACGAACUCCACACAGUACUCAUAGAAGAUCCAUAAGUAACCGUUGCGCACUUGCAAUCACGAAAUCUCUCUCUCAUCCCCUGCAGCUUUUCUGAAUCGCACUUUCAGCUUCUCGUUGUUCGGAAGUUUUCCGAGUGUUGUUGUUGGUAAUUGAUGUUUCUAUUUUCAAUCUACAGCAUUGAUUUUAUUAGUAUUUGAGAUAUCUGUUAAUUACUUGAAAAACAUGCCAAUUAAUAGAUGCAUUUUGAAGUGACUGAUGUGUGAAUUAUAGUCAAAUUGAAGUUGUAAUUAACGUAUUCAUAUAAACAUCAAUGGCGAUUUGUAGAGGAAUCCGCGAUAAGUAGCCGCCGCUUUUUGCGUGCACUGAACAUGUUUGUAGGUGUGCGUAGCGAUAUAUGUUUUUAUGAUUGUAUUAGAACAACUCAUAAUUGCGUUAUACCUUGAUAUUCCUAAGCUACCAGGUUUUGUAAACCUGCAAAUUAAAGUGUAAAGUAGUUGUAUGUCAAAAGUUACACAUCCAUUGUCAUGUCGAACUCAAGGCAUUUGGCUUGAAUAUGCCAUUAGAUGGAGUAUAUAUAUUUCAGAAUCCACUCUCUUGACUCAAAAUUCAUUAUUCUGAAUUUUGAAUUUGCUGCUGCACAUGUUUAUGCUCACCUCAUAGCUAAUGCUUAUGUGCAGGUUGAAAGUUGCUCUUCAUUCUCUUCUAGUGACAUUUUGGAAAUUCGGAGUUGCAGAAAUCUUAUGGUAUACGAUUUUCUCAGCUUCAAAAAGGUACGAUAUGCAUCUCCGUUCAAUUGUGAUUUUCGAAACUGUAUGGCUGGGUAGUAGUGUAGUACAGUAGUUGCAAACAACAACCGUAUUUCUGUGUUGUUUUAGACAACUUAUGAAGUAGUAUGAAUAGGGUGUUAGUUUAAGCUAAUCUUUACCAGGGUGCUGGUAUCAUGAAUAUAUUGGUAUGCUCUUUGCAAGUCCUGGUUUAUAUAUUUACCCUUUAGUCUUAAUUAUGUUUAGUCGAAAACAGUGUUCAUUAUAACGUUGUUCCCUUGUUCAAGCUUUUACUACUUGAUAAGAUUUUGCUGCAGCUCCCGUCUAUGAAAAAAGGGGUUUUGUUUAGCUUGUGGGAAGCUUUUCCUUUUACGAAUUACCAUCAGAAUUAGUUUGCAAAUUCGCCUCAUGUUGGUGUUGCGGAGCCAAACCAGUUAUUUUGUAAUUUAGGAGCCAAGUGUAUUGAUUGACAUGGAAGAGAAUCAAUUUUUAUUACUCUUUUAUAUCCUCCGAGGAGAAAAUGAGACGUAUAAAAAUCAACUGAAUUUGAAUUUCAGUUGGCUAAAGAUACACUAGCCUGUUGAAGAAUUCGAUGAUCGUCACUAAUAGAAAUGACCACCCUAAGUAUCAGCUACAAUUUACUUACAAGUUAGACAAUACCUAUCUUUUCUUUCCUAAGGUUUAAAACAUCAUGGUACUGAUUACUGAAUGUUGCUAGCUUGUUCAGCCUAGGUGGCUGCCUUGCUGAUUCAGUAGGACACUGCUCCCUAGUUUUCAUCUGGCUUUCCUUUAGUCUUACUCAAUCUGCUGGCUGGAAAAUGCAACCGUGCCAUCAGUGGUCUUGGUGCCCGUGUCUUCUUGUCAAAACCCCUCACACAAACAAACCCUGCGAAAUAAAGUACUUGAUCAGAAAGCAAAUAAAAGGUAUUGCAGCAAGGAAUAACACUUCUUCCUCUUAGUGACCUGAAUGAUUACUAUUCCUCAAAAUUUUGUUUUUAUGAUUUGUCCUGAGAGUGUAUAAAGAAAGCAUGAAACUUGCCAACAUGUUUUUUGAUGCUGAGCAAGUUGUAAUACAUUCUUUUUGGAUGCCAAAGGUAUCUAAUUGUGCCGUUUCUUGUUUGGGAGUCAUCAUUCCGAAGAAGGAUUGAAUGAUGAUUAUGGACUUAAUAAAAAAGAAAAAGUUGAUUGAUGGAAACCUAACUGGUACACAUUAUGUGUAAUUGUUGAGAGCAUGCAUCUAUGUCUGUGUUUACUCUUAUUACUGUAUGUCACUCUUUUUUCAAGUGUAUACAUGUGUUCUGGCCCUGCUCCAUAGUCAAAAAUAGAGGAGACAGGGCUGAUUGGCUGAAGGGAAUACAGAUUUUUCUGUUCGAAAGAUGGACUAGAACCAAGAUAACAUGUUCAUAGAUUAUCUUAAAAAAGAUAAGCUGUCUGCAUUAAUCGGUCAUAAACAGAUUGGAUGAAGAAGCAAAUAUUAUCAACAUAUCUGCAAAUAAGACUCUGGUUUUAACUUUCUCUCGAACCAUCACGUCAGAUAUCCUCGAUGACUCACUCUAUACCAAAUGGUAAACCUUGGAGGUUCUUCAAUUAUUUCUAUAUAAGCUGUAUAAACUUGUUCUCCCAGAUUAUUUUUUCCCCAGUUUCAAGCUUUGUUCUGAUGCUGAAUGCUUAUGCCCAUUUAACUUGAUACAGAGUCUUUUUGAACUUGAAUAUGGUAUUAACAUGCACACUUUUCGUUGAUUUAUUUAGUAGAAAUGGAUUAGAAGUUAAGACAAGCAUUUGGACCUCUGUGGAUUUAAAGUUUUCGACUACAUACCUCUCCAAAAGCAAUGUUGGAUACUUUCUGUGGUUAGGCCUGAUUAACAAAGAACAUAUUAAUGUUAUUUUACUCCCAAAGCAUUUAAAAAAAUAAAUGAUCAUCCUUUAGUUGUCCUUUUACCUUUAAAUAUUGUUGGUAUUGAGGUUCCAAAGUAAACUGUUCGUCGCGGCAGAUUCCAUAGCCAAUCUCGUGGGACGUCAAUUGGGUUGAGGCUGGAGUCAUGGUCUGCAAACACCUGAGAAAUAAGAAAAAUGCUACUGUGAAAACCUUAUUAAAUGGUAAAAUGCUUAUCUUUGACAUGUUCGAGUGAUGAGCUUAAAGUCGGCUGUAUUCACCUCGUUAACUUGAAAGUAUGUACCAUUGAGCGGAAAGCUUCCUCUCAUUGCCGUUCGACAUGGUAUCUGUUAGAGAAGUAUAUAUAGAGAUGAUUAGAAUUCUCAGACCGCUUUCCCAUGACAAACAUUACAGUUAGUUUGCUCUUUCUUUACCAGAAUUGUCCCUCUCACUGUUUGAGAAUGUGCUUCACGUAGGCUGUUGCAUGCAAAGCAUGUUUCAUCAUCACAUAGCCUACCAGCCUCUUGGGAGUUGCACUUUAUUGCAGGUGGAUGAAUAGAAUCCGCUGUUUCACCUGAGAUGGAAUUGAUACAUGACAGAGAAUAAGUUAUUUUGAAAGCCUGGGGAAAAGUUAACCUAUUUCGCCAAAUUACCCUCUACCACUGUAACACAAGCUACUAAUGAGAUUGGAACCUGGGACUUGCAUAGUUAGCUAUGUGCAAUUGUUCCUUACAAACAUGAGUUAUCUAAUUCAUCAGUUUUAGGGUUAAAGUAGUCGGAAGCGGAUGCUUUGCCUUUAGCUUUUUCGAAACAUCUCCUCCUAUGUAUUACAUUACAUUAAUCUUACCAGGUGUCCAUAUUGCCAGAAGAUAGGAGCAUGGAUCAUCUGGUUCUCUUUUGUCGAACUGCAACAUGAAAAGAUGCAAUUAUCGGGAGGAUUAAUUUCAAUAUCAGCUUACAUGCUGCUUAUAUAUGAAUAUUAAACUGAUGUAGUAUCACUGACCCCUUCUAGGAGAGGAUGAGAAUCCGAAAGUUCAUAUCUGUGGAUGGAGAAACAGUUGAUAGUAAGUGCAAACAAAUUUAGAAGAACUGUAUGAAAUAAUAGGCUACCCUCCCAUAUUGGGCUAUCUAUCAGAAGUUAUUGCACAUCUUUACUUUAUUUUAUGAUGUAGAUAUCAGGAGCAUCCACUUACACUUGAUGUUCAGUUCUGAGCCGGCUUAUAUGCUUAAGUUUAGGCACGGGAAUCGAUGCAGCUUCUGGAGUUAAAGCGACCAAGGCUUUUGACAUUUCUACCUGUUGAAGCUCCAUAUUGUUUUCCAUAAAUUUCCUCACAUUUUGAGUGAACUCUGCCAUAUUCAAUGUAAUUGUAGGAAUUUCAUUAGGAUCUUCAAAGUAAGCAUCUUCAAUGUCAACUUCGGGAGCUUUUUGCUCUGGCUCAGGCGAGGCAAGCUCUUCUACAAUGGGCUCUGG
Molecule: long non-coding RNA, 4212 nt
Filed under: Nicotiana tabacum (common tobacco)
Lineage: Eukaryota; Viridiplantae; Streptophyta; Magnoliopsida; Solanales; Solanaceae
Description: long non-coding RNA (NTAB_LNC000579)
Source: RNAcentral